UACGUAGGGGGCGAGCGUUGUCCGGAUUUAUUGGGCGGAAAGAGCUCGUAGGCGGUUCGAUAAGUCGGACGUGAAAUCUCCACGCUCAACGUGGAGGGGCCGUUCGAUACUGUCGUGACUCGAGUCCGGUAGGGGAGUGUGGAAUUCCCGGUGUAGCGGUGAAAUGCGCAGAGAUCGGGAGGAACACCCGUAGCGAAGGCGGCACUCUGGGCCGGUACUGACGCUGAGGAGCGAAAGCGUGGGGAGCAAACAGG
Molecule: ribosomal RNA, 254 nt
Filed under: uncultured bacterium
Lineage: Bacteria
Description: partial 16S ribosomal RNA
Rfam family: Bacterial small subunit ribosomal RNA
Source: RNAcentral